Long non-coding RNA from Musa acuminata AAA Group (dessert banana), 1089 nucleotides. RefSeq lists it as uncharacterized. The transcript has 3 exons. NCBI's taxonomy places the organism in Eukaryota, Viridiplantae, Streptophyta, Magnoliopsida, Zingiberales, Musaceae. The record is from RefSeq and is a predicted model, not a curated record.
CUUCUCCUCCUCCCGCCACGAAUAAACCCAAAGCCCGGCCCUCUUCCCUUUGACCUCCAUAGCCGAAACCCUCGACGCCUAUCGAUCUCUUGCAUCGAUGGUCCCUUCGUUCUUCGAGCUGCGUGAAAUCCGCGGGGCGCGUGCCGUUUCAUCAUCUUGCUUGGCCGUGGAGCCGCCGCUCCUCGUCCGAUGUAGUUGAAGCCCAAGCGCAGCGCGGUGGCGGAGGCGAGGCCAACGUCGCGGCCGAUGCCCUCUAUCACAGGGCUUCCGCUUAUAUAGAGAUGGGUCAUCUUUAAGUUCAACAGUGAUGCUUCAAGCUGACCUACAGCAAAGUCUCUUUCACUUUCUACCAGAGGCAAAUGAACUUGUAAACCUCCACUGCUUAUUAUGUAAGUAGAAUUUAACUUUGUUCCUCACUGUGUCCUUUUUUCCAUUCUUCACAGACCAUCAACAGUUCAUUAAAUUAUUCUGCUUUAACGAAUUCAGAUUUUAAAACAUUGCAUGGUUCCAUAUAUCAUUCUGCUGCUGUCUUCAAUCCAUAAUCUUAAUUUUGAUUUUCUAUGCUAAUUACUCUCUUCAACUUGCCAAAUAAUCUGCUAAGCAUAAGUUUUAUCCCAUGAAAAAAUUGCUGGAAAAACUUGACUUGGGUAUGUUCCCAACCUGGUUUCCGGGAGGAGAUCGACGACAACCAGAAGCCAUACGAUGCCGACCUGGAAGAGAUCAGUUGAGUUAAAGUUGCAGGCGUAAAUGGAGGCAGCGUUAUUUUUAACUACUUUUCUACUAGGCAAAUGGAAUCAAGUAGAUGAGCUCAGCCAGGGGUGACUGACAAAAUAGGUCUUGACAUGUUGCGGACAGGACCACGAGGGAAUAUUCAUGGCUGUGAUGUACAGUUUUCACAUUUGUCCCACAAAAAGCUGGAAUAGUACUGGGCACAGGGAAGGUUCAGGUUCACGGUAUGAUUGGCCAAUGUGGAGCGAAUUAGUCAGUCCCCUGUUCUAUAAAUUUCAUUGUCAGAGUAUGAACGGUAUUAUCCAUCUGAUCAAUAUUAGAUGAGCAGACCGGCAAAAGAUAAACUACGUUGAUUGAUGA